Molecule: long non-coding RNA, 1272 nt
Organism: Centruroides sculpturatus (bark scorpion)
Lineage: Eukaryota; Metazoa; Arthropoda; Arachnida; Scorpiones; Buthidae
Exons: 3
Source: RefSeq, a predicted model, not a curated record
GACCUACUGUUAAACAAUUAUGGUUCCAAUUUCAUCAUCAAUUAAGUUAUAGCAACGCAACACUUGAGCGAUCCGCCUAGGGGGAUGCCUUCCGGGAGGUCUUUUUAAGGGAAACUGGCCCCUAUCUAGGCAUUACAGACGUAGAGAAAACCCAAAAUACUCUACUUGGCCAGCGUGUUCCGAGCAAGGCGCGAACCCAUUACCGAACUCCCAGUAUUUAGGAUACGAAGACCGCUUGGCCACUGGUGGGCCGGAACCAUAGCACGCUUGCUCAUAGGAGCAGAGAUUGUACUCAUAGGCAAGUUGCUCAUGUCACCACUUGAGGAAGAGGAAAGGGUAAUGAAACAUGUAGACAACACCACUGUGUUCUAGAAAAUUGUUCACAAGGAAGACCAGAUACCGAUGGUCAGGAAUUUGGCUUUAAUGGGACACGGGGCAUAUUGCAUCUGUAAACAGACCAGAAAGGAGAAGUCAGCAAAAUGUUCUUCAAGAGAAUGCUAGUCCUUGAAGACAUGCAAAACAUUACACAAAAGAAGUGUUCCCAGCAAGUGCACUUCACCCAUGCAUUAGUGACCCAACAUUGAAUAUGAUAAAGAAAUAUACUGAAACAGAAAUCAGCAUUGUAUGCAAUGAUAAUUCAUGGAAUUUGAGCUUAGAAAGGUUUGAAGCCUAAUAAACGUUUCCAACUUCCAAAGGCUCCUUAAUGUCAAAUUGAAGAAAUUGCAUGAUUUCUAAAAUCUAUUUUUUGCUAUUCUUUGAGUGGAAAAGGAAGGAUCCCACUCCCUAUUCCACAAAUCUCUCAAAUAUUUCACAAAGUGCACCUCAAGUAUAAAAUUCAACUUAUUGCUGUAUUUUGUGUGUGUGCAAAAAUUUUCAAGUAAAUUUUGAGUCCUGAAAAUAGCUUUCUGGAUGGCAGUGAUGAUGAAUUUCUUGCAAAUGAAAUAAUCAUACCCAUAUUAAUCUGAUCUUCACCAGUCCUCUGCUAAUUUACUUAUUUUGUAUUUAUCUUUUGCUAUUUACAUUAGUAGUGAAUGGUUGUAACUGAUUUUAUAUUUGUAUCUUGAAAUUACUACAACAUUAUUUUUAAAAGAUUUAUUAGAAGUACUGUCUUAAACACUAGAAUGAAAUAGCCAUUGUUUUAUCAAUGUAACUUCAUUAAACAAUACUGAAAAUGUAAUUUUUACAUUUUCUGAUAAAAUUGAUAUUUUUUAAAAAUUUAUUUACCCUAUAAAAUAUCUUUCUGCUAAAAUUUACAGUAAUAAUAGUUUUAUA